This 460-nucleotide ribosomal RNA is filed under the name uncultured bacterium. RNAcentral describes it as "partial 16S ribosomal RNA". It matches the Rfam family "Bacterial small subunit ribosomal RNA", at positions 338 to 795 of the family's 1533-position model. The record is from RNAcentral.
CCUACGGGGGGCAGCAGUGAGGAAUAUUGGUCAAUGGACGAGAGUCUGAACCAGCCAAGUCGCGUGAAGGAUGACUGCCCUAUGGGUUGUAAACUUCUUUUAUAUGGGAAUAAAACGUUCCACGUGUGGGAUUUUGUAUGUACCAUAAGAAUAAGGAUCGGCUAACUCCGUGCCAGCAGCCGCGGUAAUACGGAGGAUCCGAGCGUUAUCCGGAUUUAUUGGGUUUAAAGGGAGCGUAGGUGGAUUGUUAAGUCAGUUGUGAAAGUUUGCGGCUCAACCGUAAAAUUGCCGUUGAAACUGGCAGUCUUGAGUAGAGUAGAGGUGGGCGGAAUUCGUGGUGUAGCGGUGAAAUGCUUAGAUAUCACGAAGAACUCCGAUUGCGAAGGCAGUUCACUGGACUCCAACUGACACUGAGGCUCGAAAGUGUGGGUAUCAAACAGGAUUAGAUACCCUUGUAGUC